UGCAAGUCGAACGAUGACUUUUGUGCUUGCACAGAAUGAUUAGUGGCGAACGGGUGAGUAACACGUGAGUAACCUGCCCCUGACUCUGGGAUAAGCCUGGGAAACUGGGUCUAAUACCGGAUAUGCACCGUGGACCGCAUGGUUUUUGGUGGAAAGAUUUUUUGGUCAGGGAUGGACUCGCGGCCUAUCAGCUUGUUGGUGAGGUAAUGGCUCACCAAGGCGACGACGGGUAGCCGGCCUGAGAGGGUGACCGGCCACACUGGGACUGAGACACGGCCCAGACUCCUACGGGAGGCAGCAGUGGGGAAUAUUGCACAAUGGGCGAAAGCCUGAUGCAGCGACGCCGCGUGAGGGAUGACGGCCUUCGGGUUGUAAACCUCUUUCAGUAGGGAAGAAGCGAAAGUGACGGUACCUGCAGAAGAAGCGCCGGCUAACUACGUGCCAGCAGCCGCGGUAAUACGUAGGGCGCAAGCGUUAUCCGGAAUUAUUGGGCGUAAAGAGCUCGUAGGCGGUUUGUCGCGUCUAUCGUGAAAGUCCGAGGCUCAACCUCGGAUCUGCGGUGGGUACGGGCAGACUAGAGUGAUGUAGGGGAGACUGGAAUUCCUGGUGUAGCGGUGAAAUGCGCAGAUAUCAGGAGGAACACCGAUGGCGAAGGCAGGUCUCUGGGCAUUAACUGACGCUGAGGAGCGAAAGCAUGGGGAGCGAACAGGAUUAGAUACCCUGGUAG
Molecule: ribosomal RNA, 727 nt
Filed under: Paeniglutamicibacter sulfureus
Lineage: Bacteria; Bacillati; Actinomycetota; Actinomycetes; Micrococcales; Micrococcaceae
Description: bacterial SSU rRNA
Rfam family: Bacterial small subunit ribosomal RNA
Source: RNAcentral